GUUCUCCGAACUGAAUCCCACCACUGAUAAUAAUAUAUUGGGAGAACAGGGCAAUGCAGUGACCUUCCAUCUUUCAUCCCGGAGAAGGGUGGAGUGGACGGCUCAGCAAACGACAGCAAUGUCUUCAGAUAUUUCCUUGGAAUUUGCUACAGCCAUGUUGGAAAAAAACAACGGCUUGCUGUGAAGGCAACCCUAG
Non-coding RNA from Thamnophis sirtalis, 196 nucleotides. The record is from RefSeq and is a predicted model, not a curated record. Lineage: Eukaryota; Metazoa; Chordata; Lepidosauria; Squamata; Natricidae.